Molecule: ribosomal RNA, 497 nt
Filed under: uncultured bacterium
Lineage: Bacteria
Description: partial 16S ribosomal RNA
Rfam family: Bacterial small subunit ribosomal RNA
Source: RNAcentral
GAUGAACGCUGGCGGCGUGCCUAAUACAUGCAAGUCGAGCGAACAGACGAGGAGCUUGCUCCUCUGACGUUAGCGGCGGACGGGUUAGUAACACGUGGAUAACCUACCUAUAAGACUGGGAUAACUUCGGGAAACCGGAGCUAAUACCGGAUAAUAUAUUGAACCGCAUGGUUCAAUAGUGAAAGACGGUUUUGCUGUCACUUAUAGAUGGAUCCGCGCCGCAUUAGCUAGUUGGUAAGGUAACGGCUUACCAAGGCAACGAUGCGUAGCCGACCUGAGAGGGUGAUCGGCCACACUGGAACUGAGACACGGUCCAGACUCCUACGGGAGGCAGCAGUAGGGAAUCUUCCGCAAUGGGCGAAAGCCUGACGGAGCAACGCCGCGUGAGUGAUGAAGGUCUUCGGAUCGUAAAACUCUGUUAUUAGGGAAGAACAAAUGUGUAAGUAACUAUGCACGUCUUGACGGUACCCAAUCAGAAAGCCACGGCUAACUACGUG